CAAGUACUGUGCCGUCAACCUACCGUAAAUACAAGAGCUGGCUCUGCUAACCGGUCAAUGCGACUUUGGGAGUUGGCGUACGGUUUUUUAAACUGUGGUGAAAUUUGUGAGGACAAUGAAUGUGGGCACGAACAAAAUAUAAUUGGAGACGACAAAUGAGGAACAACCUACAUUUUGACAGAGCAUUUGGCAAAGUUACAAAACUGCGAUUACGAUUCAGAUUGUGGUAGAAGGUGACCGGAUGAAGUUAGUAAGCACAGUGCGGGACAGUUAUCAUUUGGAGCAUAAUCUUUAUAUCUUGAGAAAGAAUAUUGUUUUAAGGGGAAGAAUGAACAAAAAUACAAGAAAUUGGCAGAGACAGAGAGCAAAAGUAACCUGACCAAACCUGAUAUUUUCAAAUAGUGGUCUUGGCCUAAUUCUUUAAUAAUUUGUUAGCCAAAUGAGUACUUGGAAUUGGAAUGCCUAAACUGUAAUUAGGUAAACAAUAUUAUCUCUUUUAUCAUAUACCAUAGUUGUAAACAAUG
This is a long non-coding RNA of Capsella rubella, 524 nucleotides long. RefSeq lists it as uncharacterized. The transcript has 3 exons. The record is from RefSeq and is a predicted model, not a curated record. NCBI's taxonomy places the organism in Eukaryota, Viridiplantae, Streptophyta, Magnoliopsida, Brassicales, Brassicaceae.